RNAcentral lists this small nuclear RNA (107 nucleotides) under Chinchilla lanigera (long-tailed chinchilla). The record is from RNAcentral. Lineage: Eukaryota; Metazoa; Chordata; Mammalia; Rodentia; Chinchillidae.
UGUGCUGGCUGUGGCAACGCACACUCUACCAAAAUCUGAACAAUAAAAGAUUAACAUGGCCUCUGUGCAGGGUUAACACACAGAUUUGAGAAACAUUCCAUAUAUUU